ACAAGCGGAGGAGCAUGUGGUUAAUUCGAUGAUACGCGAGGAACCUUACCUGGGCUCGAACGUAAGAUGACUGUAGGUGAAAGCUUACAUCUCUUCGGAGCAUUUUACGAGGUGCUGCAUGGUUGUCGUCAGCUCGUGCCGUGAGGUGUCGGGUUAAGUCCCAUAACGAGCGCAACCCUACCUUUAGUUGCCAUCAGGUAAUGCUGGGGACUCUAAAGGAACUGCCUACGCAAGUAGUGAGGAAGGCGGGGAUGACGUCAAAUCAGCACGGCCCUUACGUCCAGGGCUACACACGUGCUACAAUGGCCGAUACAGAGGGCAGCUACCUGGUGACAGGAUGCAAAUCUCCAAAGUCGGUCUCAGUUCGGAUCGGAGUCUGCAACCCGACUCCGUGAAGUUGGAUUCGCUAGUAAUCGCGCAUCAGCCAUGGCGCGGUGAAUACGUUCCCGGGCCUU
This 455-nucleotide ribosomal RNA is filed under the name uncultured Sphingobacteriales bacterium. RNAcentral describes it as "bacterial SSU rRNA". It matches the Rfam family "Bacterial small subunit ribosomal RNA", at positions 925 to 1382 of the family's 1533-position model. The record is from RNAcentral. Lineage: Bacteria; Pseudomonadati; Bacteroidota; Sphingobacteriia; Sphingobacteriales.